UAUGAACCUAAUUGUCUUGGACAUGCAAU
Molecule: non-coding RNA, 29 nt
Filed under: Mus musculus (house mouse)
Lineage: Eukaryota; Metazoa; Chordata; Mammalia; Rodentia; Muridae
Source: RNAcentral